RNAcentral lists this long non-coding RNA (3571 nucleotides) under Macaca mulatta (Rhesus monkey). Its description in RNAcentral is "lncRNA (ENSMMUG00000064795.1)". Lineage: Eukaryota; Metazoa; Chordata; Mammalia; Primates; Cercopithecidae. The record is from RNAcentral.
CUCUGCGCUCACUUCUUCCCGACCCUGCCGGACUCCAGCUUGCGCGCCCGCUGGCAGCCCAAGGACAGUCCCGCCGCCCCACGGCGCUGGAGACGCUGCGGGGUUCAGUGUCCCUUCCUUCCGGAUCCGCGUUUGAAUCCCCCUUCCUCGGAUCCCUUACGCAGCCCAGAGCCCGGCGAUCUGGCUUCUUCCGUGGGCGGCCACUCUGUGACCCGAGCGGCGGCGCUUUGGCCCGAGGGUGGGCGCGACUUAGGGACGGCCAGCGUCCAGCCGGCGUGAGCGCAGCCCCUCCUCGCUGCAGCUGGGCACGUUGGGCGGCAGGAGAGGCUGCUGUGCUGCCUGGCUCUCCCUUUCUAAGCUCCCGGGUCUGCGAAAGUUUGGGGUGGGUUGUACUUUCUCUAGGUCGGUCUGUCCCACCUGGUACCCCACCCUACUUUCUGCCCGGCCCCUCACCCUUGUCGGCGCUAUGCUUUCUCUCCGGGCCCCCCACCUUGUAUAUUGCACGGGCUCCCUGGGUGGUUUUGCUCCCAGGGACACUGCCAUGCGUUCAGUCCUGGAGCCCGUGAAUCCAAGCCUGUGCUCUCGCUCCCGCCCGUGGAUUGCGUGAAAAUCAAUAGAGCACCACCCAGCUCGUGUUGGAAGGGACGCUCAGACAUCUCCGCCCACGGCAUUUUCCCUCUAGGAGAAGGGCGAUUCAGCUUCGCGCCUGAGCUGUUUAAGGACUGGAUCUGACCCUUUUCCUGAAGAUUGCCGGUGGGGCGUGCCAGUCUCUCGCCCGACCUUGGGAGGUGGACAAGGAGUGAUUUCAGAGUCGUUUCCCGACCUGCUGUGUGUUUGGCCUUUGGGUGGGAGGAAAAUACCCGACCUAGGCGCACCCAAAACGUUCCCUACAGUUGCAGGGGGGUUCUGGUUUCCCAAACCCCGGGACUCACGAAUCUCAAGAACAGCUGGCAGAAAGGACUGUCUGCUUGGGGGAAGGGGAGAGACCAACGCGGAGAGCCGUGGAGCUGCUUGUGGCCCCAGCCUUGGGUCACCCAGGACGCCCUUUCCGGAGCCGAGUUAAGGUCGCGGACCCUGGUAGGUGGCGAGGCUCCUGGGCGCUGGGAUGCUAGAAGCGCGCAGCCCUCCCCGCCCCGCGCAGGCCGCCGCCUCUUCCUCUCCAAAGCGGACUCACAGUGCCCCCUGGCGUCCGCGCGGCCCCGUUUUAAGGCGUUGUCCCUGUCCCCAAACUCAUUCUAUUCACCGGAAGGAAGUGGACUUUGUGACUUUAUACCGAUUCCCCUUUUAAGUACAGACGUUUUUGUCACGUUUAUCUUUAUAUUCCAAUACUAACUCACAAGGAUCUUUGAUUUUUUUUAAAGAAAAUAUUUCAGCAGUUUGAAUGAUGCUGCUAAGAAACAGAAAUUAUCAGCAAAUAUUUUUUGGAAAGUUACUCUAUGCCAGGCAUCUAUUCACAGAUCUAUACACAUGUGGUAAAUAGUAAUAUGCCAUAUCUUACAGAAGAAGAAAUUGAGACCUCAAAACUAAUUCGCCCACGAUCUCACUGUUCCCGAUGGAGCAAGGGGUUCGAAUUGUGGGGGGAUAAAUUUAGUAUCAGCCUUCAGCCGUCCAACUACUCACCUUCGAAUCACAGUCCCCCGCCUGUGCUGUGCUGUGCAACAUGUGAGGGUAAAAAAUGCGCAGGUUGUAAGAGGUGAGGUUUUUUGUUUGUUUUUGUUUGUUUGUGGGUUUUUGUUUGGUUUUGGACUGGAAAACUUAAAGCUCAAGAGUUUUUUUGUCUUUUUUUCUUUCUUUCUUUCUCUCUCUCUCUCUCUCUCUUUUUUUCUUUAACAGAGUCUCUCUCUGUCGCCCAGGCUGGAGUACAGUGGCGUGAUCUCGGCUCACUGCAACCUUCGCCUCCUGGGUUCAAGUGAUUCUCCUGCCUCAGCCACCUGAGUAGCUGGGACUACAGGCGCCUGCCACCACGCCCGGCUAAUUUUUGUAAUUUUAGUAGAAACGGGGUUUCGUCAUGUUAUCCAGGCUGGUCUGGAUCUCCUGACCUCAGGUGAUCCGCCCACCUCGGCCUCCCAAAGUGCUGGGAUAACAGGCAAGAACCACCGUGGCCGGCCUAAAGCUCAGGAGUUUUAUUGUAUUUUCUUUCCCAAGCUGUAUGAAAAGUCCAACAGCACUGUUCUGUCGUUCUUUGCCUUCUUAUAUGUGACCUUUUCCCCUCUGGGGGCUUAAAAAUAUUCAUCUUGUCUUAUAAAUCCUCAGUGAAGGCAAUGAGUAUUUUUAUUUCCGUUUUACCAUUAGGGAUACUGGUUGGGGGAAGAUGAAUGACUUGCCCAAGGUCAUAUAGUAAAUCAGGACACAGACAAGAUCAAGCUUGCCCUGUCAAAGUGCUUCCCUGACAGGCAGCAGUGAUCCUCCUUUAUUUAUGUGCAAAGUACUCUCCAAUUAGGAAAUUAAGCAUCCUGGUGCUCUCUUUGGAAGGGAAGCCUUUUAUAAAUUCAUCACUUGUUAAUCAGUCAUAAAUAAAACCUACUCACUUUUGACCUCUAGAGGAAACCUGCUAUCUGGAGAUUUCACUAAUCCGAGCUAUGGAAACUUUUUUUCCCCCAGGUUUCCCUUCUAUUUCUCUUGUACAUUUCUAUACUUACUCGAGUCCUCUUUGGGUGAACCAUUGACGCACUGUAUCUUUCCAUUGCUUGCCUUAGCAUAUUGAACCUCUUAAUAGAUUUCAUUCUAGAGGCUACUAUGCUAAAAUGUGUCUAUCUCUGUGGAGACUAAAGGCUAAAGUUCAAAGUGACACUGGCAAGAAUGAUUGGCUAAUUUUAAGAUUUAGAACUGUAGCCUUUUAGAGCUAGAGGCCACUGGAGAUCAUACCCAGCAUCUAGAUCUGCAUGGAGGAAGCCAAGGCCCAGAGAGGUCAAGUUCCUUACCUAAAGUUACACAGCUAGUUUGUGACACAACUGGGACAAGAACCCAGAUCUGCUUCCUCACAUUGCUCUUUGCAAUGUACUGCAUUACCUCAUUUUUGCUGCAAGCCCUUGGCCACUGUCAAAAUCAUUCAUUUACUCAUCAAAUGUUUAUUAAGUAGGCACUUCAGUGCCAGGCACUGAAGCAAAAAAAGAAGAGUUUUCCUUCAUUAAUUGGAACAGGAGAGACUUCAGCAUUUUAAAUAUGUAGAGAAUAAACUGACAGCUUUUUAAAAUAUGUUAGCUCCUGAAUGGUAAAGGUUACAAAGAUAUAAAGCAGUGUUUUCUUCUAUCUGUAAUAUUAUCCAAAUUCUGUGAUCAUAAUAUUAGCCAACAUUUAAAAUGAAACUGUAUUUGAAAUCCAGACAAAAAUGUACUUUGAAAAUGCAAGUGGCUACUCUGUUCCUAGUCACAUCCUUAGAACACACAAUUGAUUCAGAAAACGUUGUCAACUACCUCUAAUUUUGUGUUACUUUUGAUUAUCAUUGCUUUGUUCGAGCUUUUUUCUGUAUAUAAAAAUUUUCCAAAUAUUUGUCAUGCUGAUUAUUAUUUAAUAUGUUUGGGGUCACACUUACUUUUGCAGAGGGGAUGUCUUGCCUAAUGAAAAUCAAUGG